Hippopotamus amphibius kiboko is the source of this 2028-nucleotide long non-coding RNA. RefSeq lists it as uncharacterized. The transcript has 4 exons. NCBI's taxonomy places the organism in Eukaryota, Metazoa, Chordata, Mammalia, Artiodactyla, Hippopotamidae. The record is from RefSeq and is a predicted model, not a curated record.
UCCUUUAGCACCUUGGGAAACAUCCUCAAUUUCUCGACACAUCACAGAGGAAUGACUCAGAUGAGACACUUCUACUUUAUCAGCAGCCUUCAAAGACUUAAGUAUGUUCUCUGACUUUCUGCUUUUGGUGUCAAAAUGCACGGCACGGUGCUGUGACUGACUGAAAGGCAAGCCCUAUCUUGGAUGCAGAAUUUGACGUUGAACUGAUUUAAGUUCACACCAAUCGUCUGCUGGGAUUUCUUCUCUUCCUGGGCACUGAUUUGACUCAAACCUUUUAAUCUUAAGGACUGUGCAAGGGAAAAGAAGUAUAAGUCAACAUAUUUCAAGUACUAUGGCCUCAUCUUCAAAAUUAUCCUUAUUAUGAAGACUGAUAUGUCAGUAUAUCCUGGGGUCCACUGAGGAUGAGGCGAGGCGUUGGUGAUGUGCCUCCUUGAGCAAAAUCUGAGCCAACCGACCAAGGAUGCUGGAGGAGAGUCAAGGCUGGGAAAGUACCGUGGACUGUGUUCGCAAUCAACAGAAGGCAUUUUUAAACAAAAGUGCUUUUCCAAGCUUCCAUGAGAAGAAACAAAAGGCUUUUCUCAAAUGAAUCCUGGUUAGAAACUCUUCUUGUUCCGUGACGUUUAUGUCACUGGGACAACAAGUCAGCACUCAGAAAUGGUUAUUUUCCUGUUGACAGCCCUGCAUAAAUACUUCUGCUUAGAAUGACAUAAGAGCAUUAGCGUCCAGUCCCAUGCACUGCUCCCCCUCCAACGGCAGUGACUUGCAAAAACAAUAAAGAUAUCUCCGCUUGGUUUCGCUCUCUCUUGAUAAUACUGCAGGCACAACCUGUGUGGGGAAACAAUCUCCUGGAUCAUACUGAAGGUUCGCACAGAUGGAACAUUAGUGGGAGGAGUUGCCAGCUACUUCCCUGCCAACUUGUUAGUGCUGGAGACAUUAUCCUCUUGUUUUGCCAGUUUAAUAGAGGAUCAGUCGUAAAGAUUCUCCGUAGGCUCAGCAGCAUAAUUAUUAUCUAUGGUCUCUGCAUUAACUGUGAGAAAACAUCACGGUCUGAAUCUGCCUAAUUUCAAAUGCCAAAUUGUGCCCACAUUCAGCCCACAACUGAACCUGGAAACUCAAUAUACCCUUAGCAUUGCUACUGCUGUCAUCAUGGCGGUGUUAAGUAUACAUUUGCCUAAGCCAGGAUGUUUAACCCUCGCGGUUCUGCUUCUGUGUGUAAGGGUUACUUCUUCCAUUUCCCGGACCCUUUCCAACACCACCGUCCUUGAAAUGAAAAAUUAUUAAAAAGGUAAAAAUCUAUGUCACACUUAGUUCUGAUACUUGGUCCAGAAGUGCCAAGCCCCUGCAAAUUUGGAAAACAAACUCCUUAACAGAUGGGCCACACAGAGUUUACAACAUGUGCAGUGUGGGAGGCAGUACGGCUCUGGGCGAGAAACAGAAGAUUGGAGAUUUGGGAGCUCAGAGUUUUUGAAUUUGCUCUUGUUUUUUGCUCGUAGGCAGAUCACAUAAGCUUAUAUUUUUCAUUUCUCUCACAUGACCUGAUAUCUUAACCUUUUAAGUGAGUAAUAAAAAAGUCAAGAAAUCCUUUCCCUAAUAUGACACAGCAUCAAUAUGUUUAUUGCUACUAUUAGGAUUACAUACAACUAGUAUCAAAUUGUUAAUAAAAUGUGGCUGCAGGAUCUAGAAAAAUCCGCCAUGUAAUUUUAUAUCUGAGAUAUAAUUUUCUGUCACUGAGGACAGGCAUAUAACUGGUGAGCUGUUGUCACUGAAGAAUAGGAUAUUUCCAGCCUUGGACAAAUCAUUGGCAAAUGACUGGAUUAUGACUUCAAAAGCUGAAUUUCCAACAUGCCUCUUCAGUGGCCUCUUGGAAACUUAAGAGAUGGUAAAAGAUUUUCAUAACCAAGUUACUCUGAUAUGAAUUUGACAACAGUCUAAUAACGAAGCUUCCCAAACAUGAUGAUCAUUAGUUUUGUUCAGGGAACUAUUAAAAAUAUAAAUGUCUUAGAUCACCAUAUGCCAGCUUAUUGGGAG